RNAcentral lists this transfer RNA (60 nucleotides) under Waltera intestinalis. It matches the Rfam family "tRNA", at positions 8 to 63 of the family's 71-position model. From Rfam's summary of the family: Transfer RNA (tRNA) molecules are approximately 80 nucleotides in length. Their secondary structure includes four short double-helical elements and three loops (D, anti-codon, and T loops). Further hydrogen bonds mediate the characteristic L-shaped molecular structure. tRNAs have two regions of fundamental functional importance: the anti-codon, which is responsible for specific mRNA codon recognition, and the 3' end, to which the tRNAs corresponding amino acid is attached (by aminoacyl-tRNA synthetases). tRNAs cope with the degeneracy of the genetic code in two manners: having more than one tRNA (with a specific anti-codon) for a particular amino acid; and 'wobble' base-pairing, i.e. permitting non-standard base-pairing at the 3rd anti-codon position. RNAcentral also lists the same sequence under 3 other names. The record is from RNAcentral. Lineage: Bacteria; Bacillati; Bacillota; Clostridia; Lachnospirales; Lachnospiraceae.
ACUAGCUCAGUCGGUAGAGCACUUGACUUUUAAUCAAGUUGUCGGGGGUUCGAAUCCCCC